This is a long non-coding RNA of Quercus lobata, 1166 nucleotides long. RefSeq lists it as uncharacterized. Lineage: Eukaryota; Viridiplantae; Streptophyta; Magnoliopsida; Fagales; Fagaceae. The record is from RefSeq and is a predicted model, not a curated record. The transcript is spliced from 5 exons.
UGCGUCUGAUCCAAUUCCCAAUUCCCUAUAUCCUAAUUCCCUUCACCGCCUUCAUUUACAUUACAGAUUUACAGCUACUUCCAUAUUUCUCUCUCUGUAUUUUUAAGUGUUUAAUGUUUAUGUUUUGUUAUAUAAGAUUUGUGCUUUUCCAAAACCCAAACUGUAUGUCUUUAAUUAAAAAACCAAAGACCGACCAUACUCUCUCACAUAGUCCUUGUCCGAUAGGCUAGAGGAAUUCAGAAUUCAGACCCAAUGAAUCACCACCGCCUCUCUCUUUUGAUUUUAGGCGGUUCUAAUUACACUAAAGGGUUGGGUAACAAUGGUGAGGGAAAGUAAGUGCUCUGCUAAUAAUAACACUAACACUAAUGCAGCCGGAACCAUCAAACUUUUUGGUGCUUAUUUACAGAAUAAUGUUAAUGAAGUUGCUGGUAACGUCGAGAAGAACAAUAAUGUUCAACGCAACGCUGUUAAUCAGAAAAAGAAAAGGGAAGCGAUGGACUGAGGAAGAGCAAGUUUGUGACCACCAAAACCCCAGCCCAGAUUGAAUGAAGCGGAAAUCAAGGAUUGCCUAGUUUCACAAACUAAGAAAAGUGAUUCAGAAAAGUCAUUAGAGGCUAGCAGCUCUCAAGCUUUGGCGUUGGAUAUUCCAACAGUUGCUCAAAUUCCAGCUCCGAAUUAUUGUCAGAUUCCUUCCAUGGUGGGAAUGCCUGGCCGUGCACUGCUCCUACCAAUAGUGAAUUAUGUGAGCCAAACUUGUCCAUCCCGGUUGCUUGGAACCCAGCAGAAUUUUGGCACUUGUGCUUCUGAUAUUACUCAUCCAUCUGGAAUUCCCUCACGGCCUCACCACAGUGUUUCCCUCACAGUCUAUCUCAUUUCAGCCUUGGGCUUUCAUCAAUUGCAAGAGAUGUUGUAGAGCUUACAAUUGGACAGCCUCAAAUUUCCCCUGGAGCAAACUUAUCAACUCAGACGUCUGAAGCCAUUAGAGUGAAAUGAAAAAUUUUGGUGAGUUGAAGCCUUAUUUUUGGGUUUUGAUUUAAAAAGAAGGCUAAAAUUAGAACAAUGUAUAAGGCAAUUUAUUUUUUACGAUUUAGGGUAUGCUUAAAGAUAUAUUACACUAUCUAGCUUCACAGUACCUUUUUCCUUUUAACUAAUCAUUAAACCUAUGA